AGAGGAGGAGGAGGAGGAGAGGGGAAGGGGAAGAAAAGCUGCUGCUCCAGAUGCACUAAGAAGUUUUUUAAUUGCAUUUAACAGCGUCCCUGCUGGUUCUCCAUUCUGCAUCCGUGCAGCCACGUUCUAUUGAUGGCCUGUUGUGAUUUCAAUGGAACAUCAUGGGAUGUACCUGGCACGUCGGGCAGCACUGGAUGGAGGUGCCUUUAGCCCAAUGUACCUGGCAUGCACUGUUAGUUCAUUGUUCAGGUGCUCGGUGUCUAGCCUUCUCAUCCAUCCACAAAUCCUCUAC
Molecule: long non-coding RNA, 292 nt
Filed under: Calidris pugnax (ruff)
Lineage: Eukaryota; Metazoa; Chordata; Aves; Charadriiformes; Scolopacidae
Description: lncRNA (ENSCPUG00000006466.1)
Source: RNAcentral